Molecule: long non-coding RNA, 372 nt
Organism: Bombina bombina (fire-bellied toad)
Lineage: Eukaryota; Metazoa; Chordata; Amphibia; Anura; Bombinatoridae
Exons: 2
Source: RefSeq, a predicted model, not a curated record
CUCAAAUCAAUAGGAAGGAAGGAUGGAUUCUUCUGUUUUACUUAUGCAGCUGAGAGAAGCUGUUAUCUGGGACUGUGGAUGAGCAAUGGGAAACUACUAAAAUAAGUCAAACUAAACUUGCUAACUAUACACAUUUUUUUUUUCGGGGCAUAUUAAACUGCAUAUUGGGAUGAUUGGCUGCAAUGCUAAACACUAUCACUAGAUGUCAUUAUACUUUUUACACACAUUCAUGGUAAUGACUCAAAACAUGUUGUUCUUUUCUGCACUGCUUGAUACUAAGUUGCAAACAGUAGUUGCAAAUGUUUAACUAUUCACUUGCUGACAUAUAUACAGUUGUAUAAUGGAAUCACAUUAAAUAAUACAAUAGAAAAA